This 301-nucleotide ribosomal RNA is filed under the name uncultured bacterium. Its description in RNAcentral is "partial 16S ribosomal RNA". It matches the Rfam family "Bacterial small subunit ribosomal RNA", at positions 509 to 807 of the family's 1533-position model. The record is from RNAcentral.
CAGUCGCCGCGGUAAUACGAAGGGGGCUAGCGUUGCUCGGAAUGACUGGGCGUAAAGGGCGCGUAGGCGGAUUGUUUAGUUAGGCGUGAAAUUCCUGGGCUUAACCUGGGGACUGCGCUUAAUACAGGCAGUCUAGAGUGAGGAAGAGGGUUGUGGAAUUCCCAGUGUAGAGGUGAAAUUCGUAGAUAUUGGGAAGAACACCGGUGGCGAAGGCGGCUCACUGGUCCAUUACUGACGCUGAGGCGCGAAAGCGUGGGGAGCAAACAGGAUUAGAUACCCGUGUAGUCCCUGUCUCUUAUAC